This 255-nucleotide ribosomal RNA is filed under the name Salmonella enterica. RNAcentral describes it as "partial 23S ribosomal RNA". It matches the Rfam family "Bacterial large subunit ribosomal RNA", at positions 528 to 783 of the family's 2925-position model. RNAcentral also lists the same sequence under 2 other names. The record is from RNAcentral. Lineage: Bacteria; Pseudomonadati; Pseudomonadota; Gammaproteobacteria; Enterobacterales; Enterobacteriaceae.
GGCGAGGGGAGUGAAAAAGAACCUGAAACCGUGUACGUACAAGCAGUGGGAGCACAGGUUUACCUGUGUGACUGCGUACCUUUUGUAUAAUGGGUCAGCGACUUAUAUUCUGUAGCAAGGUUAACCGUAUAGGGGAGCCGUAGGGAAACCGAGUCUUAACCGGGCGUUAAGUUGCAGGGUAUAGACCCGAAACCCGGUGAUCUAGCCAUGGGCAGGUUGAAGGUUGGGUAACACUAACUGGAGGACCGAACCGAC